Molecule: long non-coding RNA, 648 nt
Filed under: Equus caballus (horse)
Lineage: Eukaryota; Metazoa; Chordata; Mammalia; Perissodactyla; Equidae
Description: lncRNA (ENSECAG00000053098.1)
Source: RNAcentral
CCUGUACAAAGAAUUAAAUGUUUGACCAGGGCAGUGCAAUAAAUGCUGCAGCCAGAAAUGUUUGCUCUGCUAUUUAAUGAGUGACCUUCAACAAGACAGCUGACACGCUCCGGCCUCUGUUCAUGUGUUAAUAAGGGAUUUCAACUCAGUAAUCUCUAUUUUCUCUUCAGUUUUAGCUUUCACAGAGCCUGGUAAAUGGCAUGCACACUAAUAAGGAAUUAUCGAAUCAAGAAAAGUCUGGGUACAAUGGCAAGAAGGCAAAAAUAGGAUUUCAUUCAGUUUAAUAGUCCAGAAAAGGUAACUGAAGAUGAAAGUUAAAGCAAAUUGCCCAACAUCUCCCACUGGGUCAAAAAGAGGCCCUGAACUGAGAUUGAAGCCCAGUCCGCCUGACUGCAGAGCCCAGCUGCACCCCAAACUCCGUCCGAAUGCUGGAAUUACCCCCCCGCCUUCACCAGGGCCACCUGCCUGCAGACACUGCCUGCAAACUGCUCAAAAGAUGCCCAGGAGAAGAGAGAGGAGCAAAAGACGUCCCUAAUUUCCAUACCCGGCAAUCCGCUAUACAAACUCUCUAGUAACUCUUAAAUGCUAUUGGAAGCAAUUAAAUAAAAAUCCUGGGAUAAUGACUUGUUUUUAACAUUAGAGCCUAAA